CUCGGCACUCGGCAGGGCAGAUCGGCUAUUCGGCUUGCAAAACCCUCUCUAGCUCUCCUCGCCGACGUCCGGUCCACUGUGCGUCCGUGCAGAGUCCCGUGACUUCCGUCCUCUCCUCGGCGUCCAGCGUCCUCGCCGACUCCGAGUCGCCGUCCUCGGCUCCUCCGACAUCCGACUCCGCGGCGACCGAGGGCCGAGGCGGUGAGGCCUCAGUGACUCAGUCCCAUCCUCUUCUCGCCGACGUCGCCGACUCGCCGUCCUCGGCCUCCCGUGAGGCUGUGACCGGCGCCGGCGGUGGCCCCGUCCUCUCCUCAGACCUCAGCUCCUCCGCCGCUCCGGCCGG
Molecule: long non-coding RNA, 343 nt
Filed under: Phoenix dactylifera (date palm)
Lineage: Eukaryota; Viridiplantae; Streptophyta; Magnoliopsida; Arecales; Arecaceae
Description: long non-coding RNA (PDAC_LNC001326)
Source: RNAcentral